Molecule: ribosomal RNA, 492 nt
Filed under: Triticum aestivum (bread wheat)
Lineage: Eukaryota; Viridiplantae; Streptophyta; Magnoliopsida; Poales; Poaceae
Description: partial small subunit ribosomal RNA
Source: RNAcentral
AUGGCAGGCACCGCCAUCGCCACCAAACAACCAUCUUCGCCCACUGCAGCGAAGUCAAAUGAUGGUUCCAGCAAAAAACAAAAAUGGUUCCAGGGUUUAUGUAGCAAAAAAAUCAUGGCAGCAACACAACAUCAUCUCUCUCAGUUUGUAGCAAAAACGAAAGAAGAUUCCAGCAAAAAAAGAAGUGGUUCCAGCAAAAAAAUUGAUGCAGCAAAAAAAACCAUGGCGGCCACCGCCGUUGCCGCCCACCACCAUCGUCAGCGGCGAAUCCCCCAGCCGGUCCCGAGCACCGCACCUCAUCGGUGCCGCACGCAACGACGCCCCACCCCCCUCUUUGCACGCGCGGUGGUGGGGCCUCCCAAAAUAGCGCCUAUUUGCGGGGAUGCUGCUGCGGGAUGGACGGCGGGCAGGCUGGCGUGGGAUCAACGGCGGCCAUCACCGGCAAGAACUGUUCUGAAGGCUGCCGCAGGGGAACAAGAGGUGAGGAGAUAA